AGUGGACAUAUGGUUGCUCCUUCAGGUAGCUAUAAUUACCCUCUCUAUAAUGCAAUAUCGUAUUAUCCAUUUGUAAUGAAUGAUAGUAACACUAAAUCGGAUUGGAUUCAGUUAAAUCUACAUUUCUCAAGGUCUCUAACAUCGAGAUUUGAAAUAUCUUUCAUGUAAAUACCUUCUUUGUCAUGUGACUUGUAUAUAUUCGUGUAUAUUCAGAAUCGUACCUACGCACAAUGUCUUUGAACAAUGGCACAAGCAACGUGGUCUCUUUCUGUAAAACAUAGCACUCUUUAUUUCAGCCACAGCAAAGAUCCCGAACCACGUGCAGUCAGCAGAGUUACAGCGUCUGGUUACCGUCUUGCAGUUACGAUACAGAAUAUGUGCACAUAGCUUUCAAUGACCAGACGAAAAAAAGAAUUCAUUUCAAAUAUGUUGAGAAGAAAACGACCCAUCUCUGAAAAAAUCACCUCACCCAAGAAAAUACGACUCAUUCAUGAGAAUGAAAAGUGCAAAGUCUCCCAAGAAAUUGUCUUGUAAUAUAGCAUGUGAAUAAAUAUUUUUUUGAAAUAUCUCACGAAAUUAGUUUUAUUUUAUUGCUUGUAAUCAUGUGAACUAAAAAUGUUUGUUUUGAGGAAAAAGGUCAUUUGAAGCAACUCCAGGUUAAACUAUCCAAUGAUUGAAUCUUAUUUCUCCUGAAUUAAAAUAAUUCUGCUAAAUAUUACUGCAGAAAAAAAUUCGGCCAGAAAUUUCUGUAGAAAAAAAAAAAUUCGGCCAGAAAUUUCUGUAGAAAAAAAAAAUACUGCCAGAAAUUUCUGCAGAAAAAAAAAAUUCGGCCAGAAAUUUCUGCAGUAAUGCAUUUUCUGAGCCAAUUUUUGAGCUUAUGAACAUGUGAACACACUGGGACACACAUUAUUUGGAUUCGUCUCCUCGAGAGCUUUCCAGUGAUAUAAAACAUGUUUUUGUAGCUCGCUUCCUUCUGUGUGGUCAAGUUCGGACUCCUGGCCAUUCCUAAGUUGUCCCGCCCUGCCU
Haliotis rufescens (red abalone) is the source of this 1026-nucleotide long non-coding RNA. RefSeq lists it as uncharacterized. Lineage: Eukaryota; Metazoa; Mollusca; Gastropoda; Lepetellida; Haliotidae. The transcript is spliced from 3 exons. The record is from RefSeq and is a predicted model, not a curated record.